UACGUAGGGCGCAAGCGUUGUCCGGAAUUAUUGGGCGUAAAGAGCUCGUAGGCGGCUUGUCACGUCGGGUGUGAAAGCCCGGGGCUUAACCCCCGGGUCUGCAUUCGAUACGGGCUGGCUGGAGUGUGGUAGGGGAGAUCGAAUUCCUGGUGUAGCGGUGAAAUGCGCAGAUAUCAGGAGGAACACCGGUGGCGAAGGCGGAUCUCUGGGCCAUUACUGACGCUGAGGAGCGAAAGCGUGGGGAGCGAACAGG
This 253-nucleotide ribosomal RNA is filed under the name uncultured bacterium. RNAcentral's name for it is "partial 16S ribosomal RNA". It matches the Rfam family "Bacterial small subunit ribosomal RNA", at positions 524 to 776 of the family's 1533-position model. The record is from RNAcentral.